AUGGAUGCUGACCAAAGCUUCUUGGACACCCUUGGUUUUGGUUACACGCAAACACAACUAGAAAGUCCAAUUGGAGAGCAGGCAACUCCAUCAACUCAGCAUCGUUCUGCAAUAACAGAGAAAGGAAAAUCGAACAAAGGCAAAAAUUGGUCUAGUGAUGAUGACAAGGUUCUCAUAGCAGCAUGGGCAAAUACAAGUUUGGAUAUUGUUGGGACAGAUCAAAACCGGGAUGCUUAUUGGGAUAGAAUUUCAGAGUGCUACAACACACACAAGGAAUCAUCAUGGCCGGAGCGUAAUGCUAAUGCAAUCAAUUGCCGUUACACAACGAUUAACAGAGAGACCUCUAAAUUUUGUGGUUGCCUUCAGCAGAUUUUAAAUAGGCAAGAAAGUGGAAGGACUAUAGAAGAAAAGGUUUACACCAGGAGGGAGAAUGCCGAUAGCUGGAAUUUUUGA
RNAcentral lists this ribosomal RNA (453 nucleotides) under Triticum aestivum (bread wheat). RNAcentral describes it as "partial small subunit ribosomal RNA". The record is from RNAcentral. Lineage: Eukaryota; Viridiplantae; Streptophyta; Magnoliopsida; Poales; Poaceae.